UACAGAGGUCCCAAGCGUUGUUCGGAUUCAUUGGGCGUAAAGGGUGUGUAGGCGGCGCCGUAAGUCAGGUGUGAAAUCUCGGGGCUUAACUCCGAAACUGCAUUUGAUACUGCGGUGCUUGAGGACUGGAGAGGAGACUGGAAUUUACGGUGUAGCGGUGAAAUGCGUAGAUAUCGGGAGGAAGACCAGUGGCGAAGGCGGGUCUCUGGACAGUUCCUGACGCUGAGGCACGAAGGUCAGGGGAGCAAACGGG
This 253-nucleotide ribosomal RNA is filed under the name uncultured bacterium. RNAcentral's name for it is "partial 16S ribosomal RNA". It matches the Rfam family "Bacterial small subunit ribosomal RNA", at positions 524 to 776 of the family's 1533-position model. The record is from RNAcentral.